Molecule: long non-coding RNA, 208 nt
Filed under: Elaeis guineensis (African oil palm)
Lineage: Eukaryota; Viridiplantae; Streptophyta; Magnoliopsida; Arecales; Arecaceae
Description: long non-coding RNA (EGUI_LNC023065)
Source: RNAcentral
AUUGUAUAUCCGCAUUGUUCUCAUCAUAAAGUUUCUAAAUAGGAUACGAUGGAAAUUGAAUACAUGUUAGGUCAAUAAAGAGUCUUCUUUUAACAUAUUAAAUAUAAGAGUUCUAUUUUAGAAUUAAAAUAUCGGGUCAAACUAGAAUAAGCUCACAAAAAUACAUCGCGAAUAUUUAAAUUGUAGUCAGAUAAAGCUAGAAUACGCA